RNAcentral lists this ribosomal RNA (443 nucleotides) under uncultured bacterium. Its description in RNAcentral is "partial 16S ribosomal RNA". It matches the Rfam family "Bacterial small subunit ribosomal RNA", at positions 338 to 795 of the family's 1533-position model. The record is from RNAcentral.
CCUACGGGUGGCAGCAGUGGGGGAUAUUGGACAAUGGGGGAAACCCUGAUCCAGCGACGCCGCGUGAGUGACGAAGUAUUUCGGUAUGUAAAGCUCUGUCAGCAGGGAAGAAAGAAAUGACGGUACCUGACCAAGAAGCCCCGGCUAACUACGUGCCAACAGCCACGGUAAUACGUAGGGGGCAAGCGUUAUCCGGAAUUACUGGGUGGAAAGGGAGCGUAGACGGUGAUGCAAGUCUGGAGUGAAAGGGGGGGGCCCAAACCCCGGACUGCUCUGGAAACUGUGGAACUUGAGUGCAGGAGAGGUAAGCGGAAUUCCUAGUGUAGCGGUGAAAUGCGUAGAUAGUAGGAGGAACACCAGUGGCGAAGGCGGCUUACUGGACUGUAACUGACGUUGAGGCUCGAAAGCGUGGGGAGCAAACAGGAUUAGAUACCCUAGUAGUC